GGAAUAUUGGACAAUGGGCGAAAGCCUGAUCCAGCCAUGCCGCGUGAGUGAAGAAGGCCUUAGGGUUGUAAAGCUCUUUCACCGGGGAAGAUAAUGACGGUACCCGGAGAAGAAGCCCCGGCUAACGCCGGGCCAGCAGCCGCGGUAAUACGGGGGGGGCUAGCGUUGUUCGGAAUUACUGGGCGUAAAGCGCGCGUAGGCGGCUUGCCAAGUUGGGGGGGAAAGCCCGGGGCUCAACCCUGGAAUUGCCUUCAAGACUGGCGAGCUAGAGUCCGGGAGAGGUGAGUGGAAUUCCCAGUGUAGAGGUGAAAUUCGUAGAUAUUGGGAAGAACACCAGUGGCGAAGGCGGCUCACUGGACCGGUACUGACGCUGAGGUGCGAAAGCGUGGGGAGCAAAC
RNAcentral lists this ribosomal RNA (398 nucleotides) under uncultured bacterium. RNAcentral describes it as "bacterial SSU rRNA". It matches the Rfam family "Bacterial small subunit ribosomal RNA", at positions 358 to 773 of the family's 1533-position model. The record is from RNAcentral.